This 492-nucleotide ribosomal RNA is filed under the name uncultured bacterium. RNAcentral's name for it is "partial 16S ribosomal RNA". It matches the Rfam family "Bacterial small subunit ribosomal RNA", at positions 29 to 507 of the family's 1533-position model. The record is from RNAcentral.
AGUGAACGCUGGCGGCGUGCCUAAUACAUGCAAGUCGAGCGACCACACAAUAAGCUUUUUCUUCUACCGUUGGCGGCUGACGGGUGAGUAACACGUGGAUCACCUUCCUCUUAUUCUUGGAUAACUUCGUAGAACCACUUCUGCUACUACCUCAUAUAUUGUACCGCAUAAUUCAAUAGUUCAUCGCGCCUUUCCUGUCACUUUUAGCUGGUGUCGCAUUAGCUAGUUGGCAGGGUAAGGGCCCACCAAGGCAACGAUCCGUAGCUGAUCUGAGAGGAUGAUCAGCCACACUGGAACUGAGACACGGUCCAGACUCCUACGGGAGGCAGCAGUAGGGAAUAUUGGGCAAUGGGCGAAAGCCUGAUGCAGCAAUGCCGCGUGGGUGAAGAAGGCCUUCGGGUUGUAAAACCCUUUUGUUGGGAAAGAAAAGAAGUAGAUGAAAACACGGAUGUUCUGACGGUACCCAAAGAAAAAGCAACGGCUAACUUCGUG